Molecule: ribosomal RNA, 505 nt
Filed under: uncultured bacterium
Lineage: Bacteria
Description: bacterial SSU rRNA
Rfam family: Bacterial small subunit ribosomal RNA
Source: RNAcentral
GAUGAACGCUAGCGGCAGGCCUAACACAUGCAAGUCGAGGGGUAGGGUUAGCUUGCUAACUUGAGACCGGCGCACGGGUGCGUAACGCGUAUGCAAUCUACCUUGUACAGAGGGAUAGCCCAGAGAAAUUUGGAUUAAUACCUCAUAGUAUCUUUACCUGGCAUCGGGUAAUUAUUAAAGUUCCAACGGUACAAGAUGAGCAUGCGUCCCAUUAGUUAGUUGGUAAGGUAACGGCUUACCAAGACAAUGAUGGGUAGGGGUCCUGAGAGGGAGAUCCCCCACACUGGUACUGAGACACGGACCAGACUCCUACGGGAGGCAGCAGUGAGGAAUAUUGGUCAAUGGACGCAAGUCUGAACCAGCCAUGCCGCGUGCAGGAAGACGGUCCUAUGGAUUGUAAACUGCUUUUAUACAGGAAGAAACAACUCUACGUGUAGAGUCUUGACGGUACUGUAGGAAUAAGGAUCGGCUAACUCCGUGCCAGCAGCCGCGGUAAAGUAGACGU